AGCGAACGCUGGCGGCAGGCCUAACACAUGCAAGUCGAACGAACCUUUCGGGGUUAGUGGCGGACGGGUGAGUAACACGUGGGAACGUGCCUUUAGGUUCGGAAUAACUCAGGGAAACUUGUGCUAAUACCGAAUGUGCCCUUCUGGGGAAAGAUUUAUCGCCUUUAGAGCGGCCCGCGUCUGAUUAGCUAGUUGGUUGAGGUAAUGGCUCACCAAGGCGACGAUCAGUAGCUGGUCUGAGAGGAUGAUCAGCCACAUUGGGACUGAGACACGGCCCAAACUCCUACGGGAAGCAGCAGUGGGGAAUCUUGCGCAAUGGGCGAAAGCCUGACGCAGCCAUGCCGCGUGAAUGAUGAAGGUCUUAGGAUUGUAAAAUUCUUUCACCGGGGACGAUAAUGACGGUACCCGGAGAAGAAGCCCCGGCUAACUUCGUG
RNAcentral lists this ribosomal RNA (434 nucleotides) under uncultured bacterium. RNAcentral describes it as "partial 16S ribosomal RNA". It matches the Rfam family "Bacterial small subunit ribosomal RNA", at positions 29 to 507 of the family's 1533-position model. The record is from RNAcentral.